AAGAAUUAGACAAGCACUGAAUAAAAUUAAUCACCGCAUUCAACGCAGCGAUCUUCACAUCAGAAUUACUGGAAGAAGUCAAGCACUGAAGGAACACGCCGUGGAGAUGCUUGAGAUGCGGGAUUAGGGUUUCCCCUAUGAAACUGCGACAAACUGAGCAAAGAUCAAAAAGGCAGAUUCCUGCAACUUAGGAGAAUCCGAGGAAACGCACUGGAAAAUAAACGGAAGCAAACUCAGGCCAGCCGUUAUCGGGAAUAAUCCCCGAGGCAAGCUCAGAGAUAGUAUCGCAAAUCUUCUUAGAUAUAGACUUCGUGUCUUCUCUCUGGAUGCAGGUAAGCAUGGAUGACUUGAGGCUAGACUGAGUAGCGGGGGAGAGUCGGGGCCAGAGAUACGAGUCAUCGCGGGUGAGAAGCUUCCGAAGGAGAACAGCGGCCAUGGCACGAGCCUCCGGAUGAGGAGAUAACUGGAGAAGAUGAGCGAGCUUAAUGGAGAGUGAAUCGGGAUCGGUCUGCUUGCAUAGGUUGAAGAGAAGCUCCGCGCUGGAACGCGUCUCGUUGGAAGAAGACAUGAGGUGGGAGAUUAGGGUUUCGAAAGGAGCGAGGUCGGGACCGAGGAUGAUAGCCAAUUGGGCUUGCUGCAUCUGAGUUGACUCGGCGUCCAUGGCGGCGGCGAGUUAGGGUUUUCCGGGGAUGUAUGUGGUGGCUCUCUCUCUCUGUGUGUGUGUGUGUGUGGGGGGGAGAGUGUCGGUCUGGAGAGAGAAAGUGUUGUUUGGGAGAACGCGAGAGAGAGAGAGCGAGGGAAAGGGUUUUGGGGAUUUUUAUUGAAG
Molecule: long non-coding RNA, 826 nt
Filed under: Carica papaya (papaya)
Lineage: Eukaryota; Viridiplantae; Streptophyta; Magnoliopsida; Brassicales; Caricaceae
Description: long non-coding RNA (CPAP_LNC006229)
Source: RNAcentral